RNAcentral lists this ribosomal RNA (491 nucleotides) under uncultured bacterium. RNAcentral describes it as "bacterial SSU rRNA". It matches the Rfam family "Bacterial small subunit ribosomal RNA", at positions 30 to 513 of the family's 1533-position model. The record is from RNAcentral.
AUUGAACGCUGGCGGCGUGCUUAACACAUGCAAGUCGAGCGGUAACAGGCGUAGCAAUACGUGCUGACGAGCGGCGAACGGGUGAGUAAUGCUUCGGAAUCUGCCCAGUAGUGGGGAAUAACCUGGGGAAACUCAGGCUAAUACCGCAUACGAACUAAGGUUGAAAGCAGGGGAUCGCAAGACCUUGCGCUAUUGGAUGAGCCGAAGUCGGAUUAGCUAGUUGGUGAGGUAAAGGCUCACCAAGGCGACGAUCCGUAGCUGGUCUGAGAGGACGACCAGCCACACUGGAACUGAGACACGGUCCAGACUCCUACGGGAGGCAGCAGUGGGGAAUAUUGGACAAUGGGGGAAACCCUGAUCCAGCGACGCCGCGUGUGUGAAGAAGGCCUGCGGGUUGUAAAGCACUUUUAGUGGGGACAAAAAGCCAAGGGCUAAUAUCCUUUGUCUUGAUUUAACCCAAAGAAAAGACACCGGCUAACUCUGUGCCAGCA